UCUAAUUUUGUUAAAUACACUAUUCUCUGAUAUGAACAACAAUGUCCUUUAUUUAUAAACACAAGCUUCUUCCAGAAGGCCUUGCUGACCUCUCCAUUCUAAGGCAUGGCCUCAUGGAGUCAACAUGGAGAAAUGCAGGGCUCCGCCCUGAAGGAACUGUCAGUUUAGUAUGAAGGUCACAGUUCAUCACUGAGGGAAGUCAGGACGGGAACUGGAGCAGAACCCAUGGAGGACUGCUGUUGCUCACCGGCUCGCCUCCUGUGACCUGUGCUCGGCCUGCUUUCUCGUACUUAGCCUAUCUGUCUCCCAUCCGCCCGGAGGUGCCACUUCCGUAGUGGGCUGGGCCCCCACGUCGAUCAGCAACCACACAGGGCCAACCUCUGUUGAGACGCCCUCUUCUGGGUAACUCUUAAUUGUGUCAAGCUGACAGUAAAAACCAUCCGGGGCCGGA
Molecule: long non-coding RNA, 451 nt
Organism: Mesocricetus auratus (golden hamster)
Lineage: Eukaryota; Metazoa; Chordata; Mammalia; Rodentia; Cricetidae
Exons: 2
Source: RefSeq, a predicted model, not a curated record